GUUGGUCUGAAAUCAGGUGGGAUUACCCGCUGAACUUAA
Molecule: ribosomal RNA, 39 nt
Filed under: Lentamyces parricida
Lineage: Eukaryota; Fungi; Mucoromycota; Mucoromycetes; Mucorales; Lentamycetaceae
Description: partial 26S ribosomal RNA
Source: RNAcentral